Gorilla gorilla gorilla (western lowland gorilla) is the source of this 419-nucleotide long non-coding RNA. RefSeq lists it as uncharacterized. NCBI's taxonomy places the organism in Eukaryota, Metazoa, Chordata, Mammalia, Primates, Hominidae. The record is from RefSeq and is a predicted model, not a curated record. The transcript is spliced from 3 exons.
AAGAAAAGUUAAAAAGAUGCAACUUUGCUGGCUUUGAAAAUGGAGAAUAGGCCAUAAACAAAGGAAUGGAGCAGCUGCAAGGAGCUAAAAGACAAAGAAACAGAUUUCCCCCUAGAACCUCCAGAAAGGAAUGCAGCCCAGCUGAUGCCCUGAUUUUAGUCCAGUGCAACCUGUUUUGGACUUCUAACUUCAAGAACUGUAAGGAUGGUAGGACCUACAGAUUCUUGAUUAGAUUAUAGAUGCAAAAAAAGAACCUGGAAUUAUUCCCCAAGAAGCUCCUUCUUCUGAAACCAAGAGGGGACUACGUGAUUCUAUCUGAUGACAACCAGUCAGUGAUCUCAGGUAUAAAAUGCAAUGUCCUAUUGUAACAAUGGCUGGCAUUACACCCAACAUCUAGAAGAAAAAAACAAUGAUGUCAG